This is a long non-coding RNA of Oryzias melastigma (Indian medaka), 1147 nucleotides long. RefSeq lists it as uncharacterized. Lineage: Eukaryota; Metazoa; Chordata; Actinopteri; Beloniformes; Adrianichthyidae. The record is from RefSeq and is a predicted model, not a curated record. The transcript is spliced from 4 exons.
AGCAGGAGUUCUUUCACAGACCGACGUUUUCUGCGUUAGCGAUGAGAGAAGCAUCGUGAGAACCGAGCGCUGACGGUCGUCUUCUCACGUUUCCCCAGACACGUACUAAAAUUAUGCAGAAAGGAAGAGCGUGGCAGUCUGGGGCCUCCUCUGCUGAAGUACAACCCCGAGGCGGUCUCACACACAGACCCACAUCCACCAUGACGGCACUCAGCCACAGUCCUGAUGAAAUGUAAUCAAGUCCGAGGUCCUGGUGCUGCUCCUCAUUAAAAUGACUGUUAUGAGAGAGUGUGAACAGAGAGCUCUCAGCAACGAGGAGAAGAAGGGGGCUGGAAUUAAUCUGUGCCAAAAGUCCCGCCUACAACUCGGAGAAAGGCGUCAUCAUCUUUAAAAGACGACUGGGAACGCUUUGAAAAUUGAUCGGUUGUUGAGAAUUCUCCAGAAUCCGCCCAACUCCGGCAUGUUUUCAUCCGUCUGACCGCCUCUAACAAAGAUGGAAAGUGUAAAGUGCCGAUCACAGCAUCAUGAACUUCAGGUUCAGAGUGGAGAUCUGAAGACCAACAGAUUAAACUGAGGAGGCAGCAGGAGGACGAGGAGAAAGAUCUGGGUGGAUGGUGGAGAACUCAGAGGCUCUAUGAUCUGAGCUGCCGGCUCCUGCUGAGGGAGGUGUUGAUGGACGGGGCGUUGGUGCAUCCCAGCAGGCCGAGGGCUCGUCCUCCUGCUGGGAGGAGAAGACCUGCUGCAGCUUCUGUUCGUUUCAUGAAACUCCAGUGAAACUGCAGCAAGCAGACCUUCUCGACCACAUCUUAUUAUUCAAUCACUUGAAUAUUCGCUGGGUUUUCUGGUUCUUGACUCUUUCUGUCCUUAAUUAUCUGAAUGAAAAGCAUUUUUUUCUGAUGAUCUCCAGGAGCUUAUUGAACUUGAGCUGUGUGAACCGAAACACACUGAACUGUUUUGUUCUGUUUGGAAAAAUCCUCUCACAUCUGGUUUCAUAUUUUAAAAUGGAAAAAUAAACUCUGAAGGAAAAAAAUGAUAUAAAUCAAAAGGUCAUCCUCAUGGAAACACUGUAAAGUGAAGAGGAACUAAAGAACACAUAAAUAUGAUCAUUAAUGUUAUUUAAACAUUUAUCAUUUUAGAAUCAAACUCA